Molecule: ribosomal RNA, 445 nt
Filed under: uncultured bacterium
Lineage: Bacteria
Description: bacterial SSU rRNA
Rfam family: Bacterial small subunit ribosomal RNA
Source: RNAcentral
CCAGACUCCUACGGGAGGCAGCAGUGGGGAAUAUUGCACAAUGGGGGGAACCCUGAUGCAGCGACGCCGCGUGAGUGAAGAAGUAUUUCGGUAUGUAAAGCUCUAUCAGCAGGGAAGAAGAUGACGGUACCUGACUAAGAAGCCCCGGCUAACUACGUGCCAGCAGCCGCGGUAAUACGUAGGGGGCAAGCGUUAUCCGGAUUUACUGGGUGUAAAGGGAGCGUAGACGGCAGGGCAAGUCUGGAGUGAAAGCCCGGGGCCCAACCCCGGGACUGCUUUGGAAACUGCCAUGCUAGAGUGCUGGAGAGGUAAGCGGAAUUCCUAGUGUAGCGGUGAAAUGCGUAGAUAUUAGGAGGAACACCAGUGGCGAAGGCGGCCUGCUGGACGAUGACUGACGUUGAGGCUCGAAAGCGUGGGGAGCAAACAGGAUUAGAUACCCCCGUAA